UUGACCUCGGAUCAGGUAGGGAUACCCGCUGAACUUAAGCAUAUCAAUAAGCGGAGGAAAAGAAACCAACCGGGAUUGCCCCAGUAACGGCGAGUGAAGCGGCAAGAGCUCAAAUUUGAAAUCUGGCCCCUCCGGGGUCCGAGUUGUAAUUUGCAGAGGAUGCUUCGGGUGCGGCCCCUGUCUAAGUGCCCUGGAACGGGCCGUCAGAGAGGGUGAGAAUCCCGUCUUGGGCAGGGUGCCCGUGCCCGUGUGAAGCUCCUUCGACGAGUCGAGUUGUUUGGGAAUGCAGCUCUAAAUGGGUGGUAAAUUUCAUCUAAAGCUAAAUACCGGCCGGAGACCGAUAGCGCACAAGUAGAGUGAUCGAAAGAUGAAAAGCACUUUGAAAAGAGAGUUAAACAGCACGUGAAAUUGUUGAAAGGGAAGCGCUUGCGACCAGACUCGGCCUCGGGGUUCAGCCAGCAUUCGUGCUGGUGUACUUCCCCGGGGCCGGGCCAGCGUCGGUUCGGGCGGCCGGUCAAAGGCCCCAGGAAUGUAUCGUCCUCCGGGACGUCUUAUAGCCUGGGGUGCAAUGCGGCCAGCCUGGACCGAGGAACGCGCUUCGGCACGGACGCUGGCGUAAU
RNAcentral lists this ribosomal RNA (620 nucleotides) under Aspergillus versicolor. RNAcentral describes it as "eukaryotic LSU rRNA". It matches the Rfam family "Eukaryotic large subunit ribosomal RNA", at positions 1 to 635 of the family's 3401-position model. The record is from RNAcentral. Lineage: Eukaryota; Fungi; Ascomycota; Eurotiomycetes; Eurotiales; Aspergillaceae.